CUUCAGACUGACCACUGGGUCAGUCCAGCUGUUACUUAAAUAGACUUCUAUCUUCCUGCCGAUGCAGCGAUUCACCAAUCCUGAUCCAGAGCCAUUCUGCCCAGCAACAUGCUGGCCCUAUGAGAAAACUCGGCAUAGAGUACACAACUCUGUGAAUGUCCUUGAAGGGCUCAGCCAGAGCCUCCACCGAGGGUCCCCAUCCAACUUAAAAGAGCAGGGGAGUGAUGGCCGAAAAUCCCAAAAUCCAGCACUAGGCCAGAACUAAAAAUGUGAAAAAAGUGAAAGGGGUCGAGAAACCAAUGGGACAGUUGGAUGAAAGUAACAUUCCUGGAAAGACUAAUACACUGUGGCAGAUCUAUAGUACUAAUGUAUAAAAAAAUAACAGUUGUGCAGCUCCCAAUAUCUGCAAGACAUACAGAGGUUAACUGGAAGGCACAAAACACCCCCAUGUGUAGUAACAAGUAAAUGAAAAACUGAGUAUUCAGUCCUCUAGUGAUUCCUAAGGUGUAGACAAGAGAUGUG
Long non-coding RNA from Hyla sarda, 522 nucleotides. RefSeq lists it as uncharacterized. The record is from RefSeq and is a predicted model, not a curated record. The transcript is spliced from 3 exons. NCBI's taxonomy places the organism in Eukaryota, Metazoa, Chordata, Amphibia, Anura, Hylidae.